AUGCCUAGUAUUGGACACCUGCACUUCUGGUGGCCGUUUCCCUGGAAACAGACGAUGCCUAGUAUUGGACACCUACACUUCUGGUGGCCGUUUCCCUGGAAACAGACGAUGCCUAGUAUUGGACACGUACACUUCUGGUGGCCGUUUCCCCGGAAACAGACGAUGCCUAGUAUUGGACACGUACACUUCUGGUGGCCGUUUCCCCGGAAACAGACGAUGCCUAGUAUUGGACACGUACACUUCUGGUGGCCGUUUCCCCGGAAACAGACGAUGCCUAGUAUUGGACACCUACACUUCUGGUGGCCGUUUCCCUGGAAACAGACGAUGCCUAGUAUUGGACACGUACACUUCUGGUGGCCGUUUCCCCGGAAACAGACGAUGCCUAGUAUUGGACACUACACUUCUGGUGACCGUUUCCCCGGGAAACAGACGAUGCCUAGUAUUGGACAUGUACACUUCUGGUGGCCGUUUCCCCGGAAACAGACGAUGCCUAGUAUUGGACACCUGCACUUCUGGUGGCCGUUUCCCUGGAAACAGACGAUGCCUAGUAUUGGACACUACACUUCUGGUGGCCGUUUCCCUGGAAACAGACGAUGCCUAGUAUUGGACACCUGCACUUCUGGUGGCCGUUUCCCUGGAAACAGGCGAUGCCUAGUAUUGGACACCUACACUUCUGGUGGCCGUUUCCCCGGAAACAGACGAUGCCUAGUAUUGGACACGUACACUUCUGGUGGCCGUUUCCCCGGAAACAGACGAUGCCUAGUAUUGGACACGUACACUUCUGGUGGCCGUUUCCCCGGAAACAGACGAUGCCUAGUAUUGGACACGUACACUUCUGGUGGCCGUUUCCCCGGAAACAGACGAUGCCUAGUAUUGGACACCUACACUUCUGGUUGCCGUUUCCCUGGAAACAGACGAUGCCUAGUAUUGGACACGUACACUUCUGGUGGCCGUUUCCCCGGAAACAGACGAUGCCUAGUAUUGGACACUACACUUCUGGUGGCCGUUUCCCUGGAAACAGACGAUGCCUAG
Molecule: long non-coding RNA, 1032 nt
Filed under: Oncorhynchus kisutch (coho salmon)
Lineage: Eukaryota; Metazoa; Chordata; Actinopteri; Salmoniformes; Salmonidae
Description: lncRNA (ENSOKIG00005043067.1)
Source: RNAcentral